Molecule: long non-coding RNA, 461 nt
Organism: Bufo gargarizans (Asiatic toad)
Lineage: Eukaryota; Metazoa; Chordata; Amphibia; Anura; Bufonidae
Exons: 3
Source: RefSeq, a predicted model, not a curated record
ACUUGGCAAAAGAAGGCUGCUGGGCAAGAAAAGUAUCGGAGUCCUCUCCUGUCCAACAGCCGAUUUGUCAACCGCAAAGAGCUAUGUCAUAGAGUUCUUCACCCUUGAUCCUCUAGCAAAUACUUUAUUGCAGGUAACGUAAAUGUGCGUGAAAAAGCGCAUGAUGUAAUUCACAGUACUAGAACCGCCCAGUGACGGUGACCAGUGUCUAUAAAGCAUUCAUCAUCACUAUUUGAACUUUACAAGUGAAUGACUACAAUGGCUACUGGAAGUACGUCAAAGUUCAGACACAUAUUUGAGAAAGAUGAGGACGACAUCAUAUUAACUUAAUCAAUAAAUGCCAUAAACGAAUGGCCAAGUACCAGAAGGAGCAAGAAAAGGAUCGAUUGGCUCUAUAUAAGCUUCUGCUGCGGGUUUCAAAAAAGGUUCGGAGGAUGGAUCAGUGGAACCGUAAAAUAAUA